RNAcentral lists this unclassified non-coding RNA (253 nucleotides) under uncultured Pseudomonadaceae bacterium. RNAcentral's name for it is "contains 16S-23S intergenic spacer region". It matches the Rfam family "Bacterial small subunit ribosomal RNA", at positions 524 to 776 of the family's 1533-position model. Lineage: Bacteria; Pseudomonadati; Pseudomonadota; Gammaproteobacteria; Pseudomonadales; Pseudomonadaceae. The record is from RNAcentral.
UACAGAGGGUGCAAGCGUUAAUCGGAAUUACUGGGCGUAAAGCGCGCGUAGGUGGUUCGUUAAGUUGGAUGUGAAGUCCCCGGGCUCAACCUGGGAACUGCAUUCAAAACUGUCGAGAUAGAGUAUGGUAGAGGGUGGUGGAAUUUCCUGUGUAGCGGUGAAAUGCGUAGAUAUAGGAAGGAACACCAGUGGCGAAGGCGACCACCUGGACUGAUACUGACACUGAGGUGCGAAAGCGUGGGGAGCAAACAGG